UUGGAGGGCAAGUCUGGUGCCAGCAGCCGCGGUAAUUCCAGCUCCAAUAGCGUAUAUUAAAGUUGUUGCAGUUAAAAAGCUCGUAGUUGAAUUUCGGGAUCAGAUUGUCGGUCGUGCCUCGGUACGCACUGGCAUUAUUGGUUCCUACCUUCUGAAGAACCGCGAUGUCAUUAAUUUGGUGUCGUGGGGAAUCAGGACUGUUACUUUGAAAAAAUUAGAGUGUUUAAAGCAGGCGCACGCUUGAAUACAUUAGCAUGGAAUAAUGAAAUAGGACGUUUGAUUCUAUUUUGUUGGUUUCUAGGAUCGACGUAAUGAUUAAUAGGGAUAGUUGGGGGCAUUAGUAUUCAAUUGUCAGAGGUGAAAUUCUUGGAUUUAUUGAAGACUAACUACUGCGAAAGCAUUUGCCAAGGAUGUUUUCAUUAAUCAAGAACGAAAGUUAGGGGAUCGAAGACGAUCAGAUACCGUCGUAGUCUUAACCAUAAACUAUGCCGACUAGGGAUCGGGCGAUGUUCUUUUUCUGACUCGCUCGGCACCUUACGGGAAACCAAAGUGUUUGGGUUC
This 561-nucleotide ribosomal RNA is filed under the name uncultured Glomeromycotina. RNAcentral describes it as "SSU rRNA". It matches the Rfam family "Eukaryotic small subunit ribosomal RNA", at positions 548 to 1114 of the family's 1831-position model. The record is from RNAcentral. Lineage: Eukaryota; Fungi; Glomeromycota.